This 4948-nucleotide long non-coding RNA is filed under the name Podarcis lilfordi (Lilford's wall lizard). Lineage: Eukaryota; Metazoa; Chordata; Lepidosauria; Squamata; Lacertidae. The record is from RNAcentral.
AGGGCAACAGGUUGGGAGAGACUGGCUCAAGAAGUCUGUCUCUUCUGGGUUAGAGCAGGGUCAGUGUUCUACUUAUCCCUUUUCUAAUUAUUCCUGUUGCAGCAGUGGAUGUAAUGGGAAAAGAAGCAUGAAUUGGAAACCUCUCAGUCUUAUCCACACAGAGUAUCAUUCCCUGUCAUUGACAAUGCUGGCUGUGGCCUACUGCAGAACUGCCUCUCAUUGCUCCAGAGUAUCAUCAGCUGCCUGCUGACUUUAUGUUGUGCAAGAAUAUGUUAUUGCAUGCACGUGUGAAUGAUACCCACACAUUCCAAAAGGAAUUUAUGGACCCAUCACAGCCUCUAUUUUUGUAGGACUGUUCUUUAUUUCAAAAUAUUAUGGCUCCUGAUUGGACAUAGGAGCUUCUCUUCUUUUUCCAGAGACUGCAGCUCUGGGACAGCUGUUUUCUUGGAAUUUUGCAUUUGGCAAACUCUACUUUAAAAGGCCUUACUGGCUUACAGAAGCUGUGUCGGUUUCCCCUUUGAUAAAGGAUUUGGCUGCAGCCCUGGACUCAGUUACUCACUUAGUCCCAAUGAACUCAGUAGGCUUAACCAGGCAUAGCGGACUGCAGGAUUACAUUAUUUGUCACCUAUCUGGAUGCGUAGAAGCAUUAUGAGCUUUUAAUUCAAGUUCAUCUUUAUAAGGAAGCUUUAUGGGAUCUGCCAGAUGAGAUACCAACUGCAUGCUUAGUGACUACAUUAGAAUUUUUACAAUAAACAGUUGCAGAUUACCCAAGGGGAUGUAACCAGAUUCAAAUAAUGUCCAAGACACGGUAUUUUUAGUUUUAGUUUUUUGCUGACGCAUUUCCAAUUAAUGUUCCAUUACUUUUGCUGGAGGCAUGCAAGUUUUUGCAUACAAGGCACAAAGGAGGCAGUAGCUUUGGCGUCGUUAAAGUCAAUAGGCUGUUUUCUCCCAAGUUACUUCCAUCGUCCAUUCGUGUGUAUCUGUUUCUAUAACGGACAAUAGAACACUCCGAUUUUCACACUUGACCUCCACCUUCCCUUUAAAACAGACCUAUGAUUAAGUAGAGACCACUUUUGUAUCUCUUUUGUAAACUUUGUGAGGGCUGAAGGUGAGCUCACUGCAUUAAUUUUACUGUAGGUUUUCUCCCCAGAAUUGUUUUAUCUCCAGGUUUCAAAAUCUUGAUUAUGAUGGUAGGGCUUCUGUCACAUUUUCUAACGUUCCUUUCGCACUGCAGUAACUACUGUGUUAUGGAACUGUGGCUUUUUGACAGAUAAACCAGCAUGUUGCACUACAUUGCAUUCACACCAAUAGACAUGGUGUGACACAACAAAUGCCAUUGGACAGUGUUGCUACUCUGUCACCUUGCCGGACACGUGUGCUUCUCUGUUCCUCCAUGAUUCACCCAUGAAAAUGGCAGGAAAGAACUGUAGGCUGGUAUAUACCACUCCACAUUUUGUCACUUUACUCCAGUGAUUUCCUGGGUUAAUGGGGCUGCAAAUUGAUGUUUUGCGCUGGAAGCAAUUAACACAGAAAUGAGUACUAAAUUUCCACUAGAUUCCACUAGCUUUCUGGAAUUGGUUUUUACGUUGUGUGAAAGCUCAAAUAUAAUGCAGGUAUUAAGUUUACGAAACAUUGCAGAAAUGGUGUGUGAAUGCAACCUCUGAACCAUUCUAGGUAGGUGUCAUCAGGGGUAACCAUUCAGAGAGCACAACUUCUGAGCCUUGGUAGUGUGAAGAAGUCCUGACCAAAAUUAAUGCAAAAGGACAAAAACAUUGAUCUGAUUCUUAAUAUUUUUUUGAUGUUGGAAACAAAGAAGAAGCCCACUUUGCAAUGCGUAACAUGCAAUUAUUCUAACUGUGAGAGAAAGCACUUUGGGUUGUUGAUUAGAUUUUCACAUUAGAUAGAAGCCUGCUCUUCUCCUUGUCACCUAUCAGUUCUGUCAUAUUCUACAAAGGAUGUGGUGCCUUUGUUCUGUUGCUUAUGAAUCUGUUUGGUAGAUUAAUCUCUCCUAUGUGCUCUGCAUUUAAAGCAUGUUUUCAGCUUGGUUCUCCCUUGCAUUUUCUGCUAUUGUCCAGAGGUGGUGCUGAGUGCUCAGGUACUACAUUGUUUAAAAUGGUCAAGAACAGGAAGAAGAAUCUUCAUUCUCUCUUUAGUGAUCAUUGCACCCUACAAGUGGUAAGGAAAAGGGGGGGGUGACACUUUAAAAAAUGGAAAUACAAACCAGUAUGUUUAAUAAGCACUGUGCACUGAAUGAGUUUCUAAGACAAAGGCUGAUAUUCCAUGUGCACUCAUCUGGGGAGUGCUGUUUUAAAUUCUUAUUUUCUUAGUAUGUCCCUUUUUUUGCAUUGUUUGAAUUCUUCUUUUAUCUUGCUGCAUCCCCCGCAUCUGCUUUAAAUUAUUACUGUAUAUAAGAACAUUAAAAGAUCCUUGCCUGAUCAGACCAAAGGCCUAUCUAGUAGAAAUGUGCACCAACCACAAUAUUCAGUUUCAACUCAGAGCUUCAAAAAACAACACAGUUGGACUUGAUUGUUCAAAUCCGCUUUGUUUUCCCCAUCCACAUUCACUAUUGGGAAGUUUUAAAAUGCUUAUAACUUUUUUUAUUUGACAGAAGUGGAUAAAAUUUGCAAGCAUGGUAGCCCCUCCAGAUUUGUGCAAAUUACAAGUAAAUAAUUCUAGGGACUUUUGUGCUGAACAACUCUAAAAUGUGAUCACCACUCUUCUGCUGCAGAAGGGAACCAUCUCUAACAUUUUUUUUGCAGAACUGGGUGAAAUUUGCAUGCAAGGCCAUCCCUCUGAGGGCAUAAAUUUGAGAAGGACUCCUUCACUUCCUGAGUAAUCAUUCCUGCUCUUUAAAAGUGAGAUCAGUCAGUUGUGCAUGAGUGCUUCUUCACCUUUCCCCAUUCUGACAUCUUACCUCCGCUUAGAGACAUAAAACUUAACCUUGCAGUGCUGUUCCCUGCAACUGGUAUUGUAGAACACUGGCCAAUCCCUCUGAUUACAACGCAGACAACAGCCUUAUUCCUCUGUGUCCUUGCCCCACUCUGUAUUUGCUCUCCUCUUCUCUCCGUUAGCCCACCCCGGUGUUAUGGAAAGAUUAGAGACAUUGCUUUUGCUUUCAAAAAUGACUGCAGCAUUUUUCAAAAUAUCUGGAUGACUAAGGUGCCACUAAGUGAUUCAGGGCUCUGCACUUUGAAUCAUGUUGCCUUGUAGAGAUUCCAGUACAGCUGACACGACUAGUACCCAUUGCUUGCUUUAUCUUCCAUGAAUUUGUCUAAACCUCAUAGAUAGAUGAUAGAUAGAUAGAUGGAUAGAUAGAUAGAUGAUAGAUAUAGUUUGACCCUUAAUUUUUAUUCAGCCUCAGAAUUAAUGUACUUUUUUUGAAUUUGUCUAAACCUCUUUUAAAGUUAUCCAGGUAAUAGAAAAGUAGGAUAUAAAUUAUUAACUAUUCACUUGUCAGGGACUGGACUGAAGAGGAGGAGGAAUGGUGGAAGUCACCCUCCCCUUCUCCGGUAACUCUCAGAGAAAAGGGAGGCAGUCUCAAAUUACAGCAGAGCUUUGAGGAACAUAAUAGCUCAGAGACAGGUGAAGAGCAGAGUUAUGAGGUGUUAGGAGGAGGAGGAGGGGAGGCAGAGCAGCUAGCUGACAUGUCACUGAACAGCAUAACUGACCCUCCUUCUCCCAAAAUGCGGCGUUCAUUAUGUGUGCAAGAACAAAGGGCACAGAGGCAGUUGACCAUGGACGGAAGCCAUAGAGGAAGGUGUUGUUGCUAAGAGUGAAGGGGGAGGAGCUCAGUGUGAACAAUGCCAUCAGUGAGGAAUGACAGGAUUAUUUGUCUUUCACUGUGAUACUGAAAUAAAUAAUAAGUAAGAACUUUCUUGUUUCCUCCCUGCUUCUUGGUGCCAUCAGGGGAGGGAAAGAAUUCUUCACACCUGAUAUCACCUAACUUGGGGAAAAGCCUCAUUGAAUGUGUGAAGACUUUUGAAUAAACAUGCACAACAUCAUGUUUCACAGUUUCAAUUGUAUUAAAACAAAGACAGCAGCUUGAAAGGAGGGAUAGACAGAGACCUGAUUGCAUUAGAAUGAUCAUGUUCUCUUUGGUGUUUUCUUCUAUCAUUCUUCCCCCCCACCUCCCCUCAAAAACCCAGACACCUUUCAGGAUUGGGAUGUGGUAUCACAGUGGCUCAAGAGUAUCUUGAUGUCAAAGGUAGAGUGAUAGCCAACUAAUUCAUACCCAAAUGAGACCCACUGAAAUAAAGUCUACUUUCAGUGGGUCUACUUUAUGAUUGAUUAACACUGGAUAUCACACAUAGUUUCUGACUUCUUACAAUGAAUGACUACUGAUUGAUUAUUCUUGUUGGUGGUGGAAAAUCACACUGUGUAUAUGCUCAGAAGUCCUGUUUGGGAGUUCAGUUUUGCAUUUUAAAAAAUCAGACUGUGACAUUACCACAGCAGAUUUGAAGUGAAGGCAUGUGGCAAAAUAUGUUCAGAGAAGGAGAAACACUGUGUGGGUUUAAUCAGGGGAAAAAUCCAUGGAGAUAAUUGUCAUAAUUAGUUAUACUGAUUUAGAUAUAACUCUGAUUAUAAUGAGCUACAUUGUGUCAGUCAGCACAUAGCUGGCUGUGCUGUUUUCUUGGGAAUUCUUGAAAUAAGAUACCUCAGUCUGAAUCCUCCCCUCCCUUUUCAUUUCAUAUGAAAAUCCAUCAUGUUAUGUGAGCAAAUCCUUAGCACAAUAAAGGGAUCACCAUUUCUUUCAGAUGUCUCUUCUAUGGAAGAAGAUACUCAACAUGCAUCUGGAGCUCAGAUUAUAUUUAAAAUGCUCACCUCAUUUUGGGUACUCUAAGGAUGGAUUACCAAGAAAUAGUCCAUCUGGAGCAAUCCUCAAGCACUAUUACUGGCAAUUAAGAAUUGUAUACUGUAGAUGUAAAUAAAUGGAAUAUUUGUAUCAUGG